CCUACGGGAGGCAGCAGUGGGGAAUAUUGGACAAUGGGCGAAAGCCUGAUCCAGCCAUGCCGCGUGUGUGAAGAAGGCCUUCGGGUUGUAAAGCACUUUCAGUGGGGAAGAAAGCCUUGGGGCUAAUACCCUCGAGGAAGGACAUCACCCACAGAAGAAGCACCGGCUAACUCCGUGCCAGCAGCCGCGGUAAUACGGAGGGUGCGAGCGUUAAUCGGAAUUACUGGGCGUAAAGCGCGCGUAGGCGGUCUGAUAAGCCGGUUGUGAAAGCCCCGGGCUCAACCUGGGAACGGCAUCCGGAACUGUCAGGCUAGAGUGCAGGAGAGGAAGGUAGAAUUCCCGGUGUAGCGAUGAAAUGCGUAGAGAUCGGGAGGAAUACCAGUGGCGAAGGCGGCCUUCUGGACUGACACUGACGCUGAGGUGCGAAAGCGUGGGUAGCAAACAGGAUUAGAUACCCGUGUAGUC
RNAcentral lists this ribosomal RNA (465 nucleotides) under Vreelandella stevensii. RNAcentral describes it as "partial 16S ribosomal RNA". It matches the Rfam family "Bacterial small subunit ribosomal RNA", at positions 338 to 795 of the family's 1533-position model. The record is from RNAcentral. Lineage: Bacteria; Pseudomonadati; Pseudomonadota; Gammaproteobacteria; Oceanospirillales; Halomonadaceae.